AUAUCAAGCUGUUAUAAAAUAUAAUUGCAACUCGAAAUAUAAAUGUCUGUCAAGUAUAUGUUCACCAGCUCAGCAUAAAAAUCAUCUAAUUCAAGAACAAUAAAACAAAUUACUUAUUUCACCAGUUCGAGUAAUAUCUGAAUCCGAACGGGUAAUAUCUGAAUCCGAACAGGUAAUAUCCAAACCCGAAUAGAUAUCCGAAGAUAACCAAACAUAAGUAUGAAUUAGUGUAUUUCUAACCUAUUAAUAGUUUAGUCUUUUAAAAACUAGAAAACCAGUUAAGUUAAAAUAUAUUUUAAACACAAAAAACUUAAACAAUGAAUAAUUUAUUUAUUUUUCUUCAAAAUUUAAAUAUCCGAACCCAACCCAAAUACCCGACUC
This 381-nucleotide long non-coding RNA is filed under the name Brassica napus (rape). RNAcentral's name for it is "long non-coding RNA (BNAP_LNC018102)". Lineage: Eukaryota; Viridiplantae; Streptophyta; Magnoliopsida; Brassicales; Brassicaceae. The record is from RNAcentral.